GAACGCGAAGAACCUUACCCGGGCUUGAAUUGCAGAGGAAGGAUUUAGAGAUAAUGACGCCCUUCGGGGUCUCUGUGAAGGUGCUGCAUGGUUGUCGUCAGCUCGUGCCGUGAGGUGUCGGCUUAAGUGCCAUAACGAGCACAACCCCUCUCUUCAGUUGCCAUCAGGUAGUGCUGGGCACUCUGGAGACACUGCCACCGUAAGGUGUGAGGAAGGUGGGGAUGACGUCAAAUCAGCACGGCCCUUACGUCCGGGGCUACACACGUGUUACAAUGGCCGGUACAGAGGGACGGUGUAAUGCAAAUUGCAUCCAAUCUUGAAAGCCGGUCCCAGUUCGGACUGGGGUCUGCAACCCGACCCCACGAAGCUGGAUUCGCUAGUAAUCGCGCAUCAGCCAUGGCGCGGUGAAUACGUUCCCGGGUCUUGUACACACC
RNAcentral lists this ribosomal RNA (434 nucleotides) under uncultured bacterium. Its description in RNAcentral is "bacterial SSU rRNA". It matches the Rfam family "Bacterial small subunit ribosomal RNA", at positions 957 to 1391 of the family's 1533-position model. The record is from RNAcentral.